Molecule: ribosomal RNA, 374 nt
Filed under: uncultured archaeon
Lineage: Archaea
Description: bacterial SSU rRNA
Rfam family: Archaeal small subunit ribosomal RNA
Source: RNAcentral
ACUUUACAAUGCAGGCAACUGUGAUAAGGGAACCCCGAGUGCCCGUAUGGACGGGCUGUUCAGGUGCUUAAAAACCACCUGGAGAAAGGGCCGGGCAAGACCGGUGCCAGCCGCCGCGGUAAUACCGGCGGCUCGAGUGGUGGCCACUAUUACUGGGCUUAAAGCGUCCGUAGCUUGGUCGUUAAGCCUCUGGGGAAAUCUUCCGGCUCAACCGGAAGGCGUCUCAGGGGAACUGGCGGCCUAGGGAUCGGGAGAGGUGAGAGAUACUCUGGGGGUAGGAGUGAAAUCCUGUAAUCCUCAGGGGACCACCUGUGGCGAAGGCGUCUCACCAGAACGACUCCGACAGUGAGGGACGAAAGCUGGGGGAGCAAACC